This is a long non-coding RNA of Pimephales promelas (fathead minnow), 1430 nucleotides long. RefSeq lists it as uncharacterized. The record is from RefSeq and is a predicted model, not a curated record. NCBI's taxonomy places the organism in Eukaryota, Metazoa, Chordata, Actinopteri, Cypriniformes, Leuciscidae.
GUGUCUGUGUGUUCAGGGAUUUGACACUGCUAUUCAAGCCCUCUGGUUGCCAUGGUGCCGCCUGCCUUAUAAGGGUAAUAGAGUCAAAGAGCAGUGAGUGGGCUGUAGCCACUCUACACAAACAACCAGGAAUGUGUUACCACACACACACGGUUAACCCCUCAAGGGACGACCAUAGGUACACUCAGCAUGCAUCUUAGGAUGGUGAAGACUUCCUAAGUGAAGAUCUCAACAUCAGAAGAGCUGCUUGCAGUUCUCUUAGGAUAGAGCGAUUGCGAGGACCAGGAAUUUCCCCUUCAACUUCUAUAUUUGCCAGGUUGUCAGCAAUUCUCUACAAUCGAGACCAACACCUGCUGGGUGGCUCUCCUCUCCUCCAACUCAUCCCGCAGACUGUCCAGGAUCAGAGCGCCAGCAGAAUCUUGGGCACUCUGGACCAUCAGCGCCAGGUCCAAACACCGUCUCUCUUUUUCCAGAAGCCGAAGAUUCCCACGCAUCUCUGACAUCUCCUCCUGAUGUUUUUGGAAAGUGAACUGGUGCGACCUCUGGUCCCUGUAAGCGUGCCAGUGUCAGGACUGAUCUUGCCCUCUCCUGCUUUGACCCGCUGCGGGAUACACAUUGCGGCCCUGUCCUGUUUCAGCCUGGCGAUCCUCUGGAGAAUUACACCAGCCUGGCCCUCAAACUCCUGUCCCGAUAAGCUGGAGUGUACAGAAAAAGAGAGAGAGAGGCUUUUCAGAACUAAGAUGACGUCUGUUUCAUUAUCAGACCAAAAUAAGUGGAUUGAUUGAAUUGGUUUGGGAAGCGCUGCUCUCUAGUGGACUGGAGGAUGGCUCGCCUUUGUCCGUGUUCACUUCUGAGAAGUCAGACUGCGGUGUGCUUAUUUGUUCUCUUUUCUAUCUCGGCCUGAAGCACAGAAUCAACGGUGCAGGGAGAUGAAGGGGAGUCCGGCCUGGAGCCAGGCAGUUUGCGGGACAGCAGAGGGGAUCCAGGAUAUGGAGGAGAGGAAAAGGAAGGGCUCGAAGUUCGACUAGAGGACAAUGAUGGACUAACAGGAGGAGAACGACUCACUCCGUACAGCCACUUCCUCUUCAGGUCCACUAACUGCCAAAAGAUGAGUUCAACAACAGUGAAAGGGGAAGAGCAGAGGGGUAUGAGAUCCCCAAAUCGCUCUCCAUCUCCUCCAGCACCUGGAUCAGAUUACAGAGAUCAGAGCCUGAGGGAGUUCAGACGCAGUCGAGUGCAUGCAUGCUACUGCGAGAGGCUGGAUGAGCACCUGUGUGGCCUUCACCCAGCUCUCCCGGGCUGCAGAGAGAUGGUGUGCUUGAACUAUCUCCGAAUUCUGCGUUUGAAGCCUGAGCAUCUUCCUCCCAUGACCGCUAGAGGUCUCGAGAGCAGAGAGGACCUUCUGUAGAUCGUUCCAAAGAUCACUGCUG